GACGAACGCUGGCGGCGUGCUUAACACAUGUAAGUCGAACGGACUACUUUGCUUCGGUAAGGUGGUUAGUGGCGAACGGGUGAGUAACGCGUAGACAACCUACCUCUUAGCUGGGGACAACAUCGCGAAAGCGGUGCUAAUACCGAAUGAAGUGACUUUCCUGCAUGGGAGAGAUACUACAGGUGGCCUCUAUUUAUAAGCUACCACUGAGAGAUGCGUCGGGGUCUGAUUAGCUAGUUGGCGGGGUAAUGGCCCACCAAGGCGACGAUCAGUAGCCGGUCUGAGAGGAUGAACGGCCACAUUGGGACUGAGACACGGCCCAAACUCCUACGGGAGGCAGCAGUGGGGAAUCUUCCGCAAUGGACGAAAGUCUGACGGAGCAACGCCGCGUGAGUGAAGAAGGUUUUCGGAUCGUAAAGCUCUGUUGUUUGAGACGAAUGUGCCUGUUUCAAAUAGGGAUAGGUAAUGACGGUAUUAAACGAGAAAGCCACGGCUAACUACGUGCCAGCCGCCGCCGUAA
Molecule: ribosomal RNA, 520 nt
Filed under: uncultured bacterium
Lineage: Bacteria
Description: partial 16S ribosomal RNA
Rfam family: Bacterial small subunit ribosomal RNA
Source: RNAcentral